GCGGCAAGAACACCUCAUCAGGAAUAUCAAGAGGAAUGCUGACAUGCUUAAAGCUGAGCCAGCUGGCAACUUUGUGAUGUGAAGAGCACGUGAAGACAUUUUUGUGAUUGUUGAAGUUCACAUCAGUUUUCUGUGAUGGCAAUUUGCGCCUCCACCACCUGAUCAAGGCACAUUCAUGGAUUGAAGACCAGAA
This is a long non-coding RNA of Polypterus senegalus (gray bichir), 193 nucleotides long. RefSeq lists it as uncharacterized. The record is from RefSeq and is a predicted model, not a curated record. Lineage: Eukaryota; Metazoa; Chordata; Cladistia; Polypteriformes; Polypteridae. The transcript has 3 exons.